RNAcentral lists this small RNA (759 nucleotides) under Rattus norvegicus (Norway rat). RNAcentral describes it as "mammalian target of rapamycin (mTOR) associated RNA 2". Lineage: Eukaryota; Metazoa; Chordata; Mammalia; Rodentia; Muridae. The record is from RNAcentral.
GCCAUGUAAGGAUUCUGAACAGGGAGGUAGUGUCUGAUUUUUAUUUUUAAGUGAUUUCUUGGCUGUUCUGUACAGAAUUGCCUGUACUGGGCAAAGCACAACAUCUGGCCAGAAGCCAUGGCACUUGUGCCAGUCUGGGCCGGUAGCCAGAGAAGUAGUGAGUAGAGAUAGGAUGUGGGAGCAGAGCAAGAGGGAAAGGGUGCUUCCUCUGUCUGGCUUCCAACCCUAAAGGUACUGAGGAGCCCUUUCCAAAAUUGAGGCAAGGAGGCUAGCCGGACUCCUUCCACUAACACAUAUCUGAUUGGGUGCUAAAGUAGGAGGGGUCUCUCUACUACAGUAGAGGAAGAGCUGCAGAGCGUCCAGGGUAAAAGGGUAGAAGAUAAAUGGAGACAUAACGUUCCUGCCCAUGAAGCCCAUGGAUGGAGGCAGCAGGAGGCAGAGGCCAUGAGUUAAUAGGAGGGCAUUGUCCAGGGACUUCAGAGAAAUGUUGUCCAGGUUUAACCAGGGGCUGGUAGCAUGCUUGAUCAUACAGAAGGCAGAGCAACUCUUUGCCCUCCAGAGAGGGAGUGGGAUUUGGAGAGCUGCUUCAGUGAUCUAAGUUAUACCCUUAGCCAGUGUCUCCUCUAGGAGAUAAGAAAAUAAUGUUACUCAUGCUUAGAUGGACAGGGUCCCUCUGGAGGUCAGUAGUAGACUUCAAACAGUGGCAUUAAGGGAGACAGCAAGCCUGAGUGUCCCAGUUUGAAAAAAAAAAAAAAAAAA